GGCAGAAAGCGUCUAGCCAUGGCGUUAGUAUGCC
Molecule: unclassified non-coding RNA, 34 nt
Filed under: synthetic construct
Source: RNAcentral